UUUUUUGUUUUUUUUUUUUUUUGGUCAUUUUAGGGCCGAACCUGCAGCACAUGAGGUUUCCAGGCUAGGGGUCGAAUUGGAGCUGUAGCUGCUGUGAUGUAGAUCACAGCCACAGCAACGCCAGAUCCGAGCUGUGUCUUCAACCUCCGCCACAGCUCAAGGUAAUACCUUACCCUUAACCCACUGAGCGAGGCCAGGGAUCGAACCUAUGUCGUCUUGGAUGCUAGUCAGAAUCUGCUGAGCCACAAUGGGAACUCCCGCAAGAGUAGGUUAACUGCGGUAUAGUCAAACAACAGAAUGCUUUACAAAGGCAAUUAGGAGGAAUUAAACACAAGAUUUUAUCAAAUCCAAUCUAUCACAAUUUAAGAAGCGUCGUAAUUUCUCAGAUGUUAAAUCAUGAAAAAGUAGAACAUGUAGUAAAUAUAGCUAUACCUCAAAGACAGAGUAUUAGGGAAAAACGGGUUUCAAAUUAUAGAUACAACGGAUUUUUCCCAUAAAAUUAAAAAAAUAUACAAAAUAGCCCUCUGUACUUUUUUAAGUAUACAUAUGUAAGAAGAGAAUGAAAACAUACAUGGGAAUGGUACACAUUAAUAUCAGGAUAGUUAUUUCUUAGUGAAGAAAGGGGGAAGAAUGAAAAAAGGUCAAAUUUUAGCUGCAUCUCUUAGUAUUUCCUUCCUUCCUCCUUCCUGCCUGCCCACCUUCCAUCCUUUCUCUUUUUGCUUUUUAGGGUCACACCUGCGGCACAUGGAAGUUUCCGGAUCAUUAACCCACUACGCAAGGCCAAGGACUGAACCCACGUCCCCAUGGAUACUAGUCGGGUUCCUUACCACUGAGCAACAAUAGGAACUCCCUUAUUUCUUAUUAAAAAAGAAAAAAGGAAAGCAUCUUUUACAUAAAGUGAGUUUCUCUACCCCAUGAAAGGACAGACACAAAUGCACUCACUCUAUAACACUAUUCUGGAAUGUUUAUUCUUAAAAGACAAAGAAACAUUGCUUGUUAAACAUUCCUGAGAGAUUUUAUUGCUCACCUUCAGAGAGGAGAGAGAACGCGCGCGCGCGCGCGCGUGUGUGUGUGUGUGUGUGUGUGUGUGUGCGCGUGCGCGCACGCGCGCUGGGGGGUGGUCAUUAAGAAUUUGAAAAAUGUGACAUUAACAUCUUUUAAACUUGGAGAUUAAGAUCAUAAUGGUUUGCUUUAUUAUUUCCCAGAUGCCAGGCAGAGUUUUUACUUGAAAAUUGAAAAAAUAAAAUGAAAAAAUGUGCCAUGCACAAUAUAAAAUGUGAGCUCUAUCAAGAUUUUGGGAAAUAAACAAUUACUACAUUAUAUAAACUGAAAAUAUAUCUAUUUUUUCCCACAGAAAAAUGGGGACAGCGUUCCAACACACUCUAAAGGCUAGCAAAACCCUUCAUACCAAUACUGGAGUAAGGAAAACACACAACAACACCAAAGUAACAAACCAAUCUCAAUACUCAACAUGAAUGAAUAAUAUAGGGAUACUGAGUGAAAUGUUAUUAGCACUCUGAGUCUAGCAGUAUGACCAAACUGGGUUAAUCCUACCAAAGCAAGGAUGAUUCUAUAUAUGAAAUCUAUUCAUAUAAUUCGUUACACUGAUAGCACACACACAUAUAUAUAUUUAAAACAUUAACUGCCAUGCAAACAUGGGAUUCAACACACAUUCCAGAUUUUAUUUUUCUUUUUUAGUAACCCUGAUUAAACAGAAAUAGAAACUUUCUCAAACUGAAAAAGGACAGGGUGCUUUCCAUUUAACAAUGCUCUGGAAGUGCCAACCAACAUAAUUAGACCAGAAAAACAUGACAUAUAGUAGCGGAACAAUCUGAAACACCAGCAAAACUGUUUAAGAGAGUGUUCUGUAUCUAACAAAUCCAAGAGAAUUAACCGAAAACCUAGUACAACUAAUAAAAGCUCAGCAAAGUGGCUGCAAAUAUAACACAGCAGGCACAACCAGUCAGAUAACAGAAUAACAAUAACAAUGUUAGCAAUAACAACAAAAUCCAUAAAGUAUCUUUUUGAAGAGGUAAAGCCUAUUCUUAUGAAGAAAAUAGCAAAAUUAUAUUGAAAGGAAGGACUUCAAAAAACUUAUCUCAGUGGGUCGACUCGAUAUUGUAAAGAUGUUGAUAUUCUGUAAGGGGAAAUAACAAGAAUAGCAAAGAAUAACACAUAAGACAUUGUUAAAAUUAAAAUUAAGGGGAAAAUUUCAGACUAAAUAUAAAAACUUAUUAUAUAGGUUUAGUAAUCACAUUAGAUAUUGGUACAGGCAAAGACAAAGAGAUCAAUGAAACAUGAGUCCAAAACCAGGUCCAAGGAGAUAAAGAUCUUUACUUCAUGAUAAUAUACGGCAAUUCAAACCAGUGGUUAUAAAACAAACCAUACAAUAAACUGUGUUAAGAAAAGUAAGUAUACACUUAGGACAAAAUUGAGUUGGACCACAAUUAUGCACAACAGACAAAAGUAAUACCCCGAUGGAUUAAAUGAUCUAAUGUUUAAAAACAAGUACAUGUAUUAGAAUAUGUGUUAGAAGAAGAAAAUAUUUUCAAAAUCUUGUAGUAAGCACAAAACUCAGAGGCCACAAUGAAAAAUACUGACAGCUAUAAUCUCACAAAGAGGAAGAACUCCUGUACUAUGUGACAGAAGACACCAUUUAAAACAAGCUUAAAGAUAAGGGACUCACUAGCGGAUAUCUCGCAUAUAUUUAACAGGCAGGUGAAUAACGUGAGAAUACAUAGAGAGCUCAUGGAAGGGUGGCAAACUCACUGGUAGCAUAUAUGCUAGUCCAAAAUUGCAGUACCUUUUUCUUUUUUGUAACAAAAUGUAUCAGGGUGUGGAUAAAGUCUCUAACCCAGGCCUACCUCCUCCUUUUUCACCCGGAGAUAACCACAAUACUAAAAAGACAAGGAGGUAAAUAGAAAAAUGGGAAAGAAUAUGAACAAGUAGAAAGAACCAAUCAAAAGGAAAAAUGUUUCAUUUGUAACUGGCAAAAUGCAAAUGAAAACAAAGUAAUUUUAUAACCGCAGGACUGACAGAAAUUAAAAGCAGUACUGAUUGGUAGACUUUUGGGAAAGUCAUUUGGCAGAAUCAAAGGGAACUCCACGAUUCUCUGCCUAGAAACUAUUUCUUAUAGGAAAUCUGGCACUUCAGCACAAAGAAAUACAUAGGAAAGAUCAUUUUACUGUACUGUUUGUAACAGUGAAAAAUGUAAAUACCCCAAAUGCCCAUCUAAAUAGAAGCGUGAUUAAAUAAAUCAUGGCAUAUCUAUACAAUGAAUCUUACACAAUUACUAAUAGGGUAAGAUAAACCCACAUGUGCUGACAGCUUUAUAAAAACAUUAAGUAGAGGAAAAGGUUGUAGAAAGGUACAGUAUGGUCCCACUUGGAUAAAACAGAGGACAUACAGGUAUAUACGAGUGAGAAACUUAGACCUGAAAUCCUGAUCUAGUGAACCAAAAGAUGAUUUUUGUGUUUUGCCCUGAAUGCCUAUGUUGUUUCUAGCUCCUUUCUUUUUUAUUUUAUUUCUAUUUCUAAGGCUGUACCUAUGGCAUAUGGAAGUUGCCCGGCUAGGAGUUGAAUCAGAGCUGCAGCUGGGGUCUAUGCUGCAGCUUGCGGCAACACCAGUUCCUUAACCCACUGAGUGAGGCCAGGGAUCAAACCUGCCAGCUCACAGACACGAUGUUGGUCUAAGCCACAACGGGAACUCCUCUACCUCCUUUCUAUGGGAAAGUAUUUAGGAAGUACCUGUGUGAGGUUUUACAUCAGAAAAGAUGUUCAACUGACUGUUACUUAACGUGAAUGUUGUCUUGCUUACCUGAGUAACAGAACUACAGAACUCAGUUCUAACAAUUACUAGUUAUGAACACUUUGAAGCUCGAGGACAAGGUAAUUGCUUCUUCAGAGCAAACUACUAAGCUAAGCUAAUCUUAGAGUUAACUAACGGAAUUCCCUGUUCAUAGUCCUUUCAACUGUAUUACACACCCUUCUAAAGCUGUCAUGUUUAAAGGCCUAAUAGAGCCCCAGCUUUCUUCUUUUGCUCCCAAAUGAGCAUAUCUGGUACACACCUAACCUUGAAACAUUCACACACCACCUUGAAGGGGCUAAUGGUAUUAUCAUCUCUCUGGGAUUCUUACGCAUAACUACAGGCACUCAAGAGGCAUAAUGCAGACUAGUGAACCUAGUUACUCAUCCACUCAAGAAUGUAAAUUAUGUAAAGGAAAUGAAAUUACAUUUUCAACCAUUGCUUUCUAAGAUCUCGGUCUGAAGCAUAAAUAGAAAGCAGUGUUGGUUUAAGUAAACUAUUUGAAUUCCGGUCCAAAUCAAUGGCAUAAGCAUUAUUUCAGACCAUCAACUCUGACUGGCUCUCCUCUUUGACCUCUGGGCAACACUGUAAAAUGUCGAUAGGACUCAUUUCUUACAAUGUAGGCAAACAAAUAACAGAGUAUCCCAUAAAAUGUGGCUAAUAUUAUGUGAUUGCCUUGACUAGGAGAUGCCAACACAACUUGAGAAUUACGUCAAUACUUCUUCAGGAUUUAUUAAUAUUUAUUCCAUCAAUGUCAGUUUGAUGACUAAUAUUUGAGGUAGUAGAGAAAGGGCACAGCUUUGGAGUAAAACAGAUGUGAUCAACUCCUAAGUCAUCACUUCAGAGAAGAGGAAUCUCAAGGAAACCACAAUCUGUGACCCUCAAUUCCCUCAUUUGUUAAAGGACCUACCAUCAAUCACUACAGUGAGGACUGCAUGAGAUGACAGUAUUUUGUGAAGCUUUUAGUAAGGUUAUCUGGCACAACACAUGAUCAGAUUCCUUCAUCUUAAAUCGAACAAUUUUUAAUGUCUGUUAUUCAUCUACAUUUUAAGGCUGUAAAGUUUAGAUUUAUUCAACAGUUUUGAGUACUAACUGCACUAGGCACUGUGAUGAGUGCUAGAGCCAAACUAGUAAACAAAAAGACCAAUUCUGUCUUCAUGCAGUUUACAAUGUUGGACAUAGUGGGAUAGGCAUUAAUCGGAUACCCCAAAUGCCAACUGUGCUAAGCUCUAUAAGAAGUAAGCUAAGAGGACACAGAACAGCGGGGUUUGCCCUGAUCAGAGAAAUCUAUAAAGGCUUCCUUAGGGAAAAUCCUUACUUGUAGUGUGAAUAGGAAACAACUAGAUAUAGCAGAAAAAAGGAAGAAUGCUCCAUGCAGAAAGAAUAGACUUUUGCUUUAUCUUUUGGAUGUCUAUAUACCUUUAAAUGCACCCUAAUAGCUUGUGCCUCUGGCAAUCAGGUACACGGGGACUGAAAGAAUGGUGCAGCUGACACAGACUAAGAAGAAAAGACUGGCUAGACAGGAGUGACCAAAGAUGCAGAGCUCUGUAGGUCACAUGCUAAACGCAAUGGUGAAGUGUUAAAGGGUUUGUAUGUAGGGUUUGCUGUUGCUGCUGCUGAUGGGAUCACUGUAUUUCACAAUAGUCUGGCUACACUGUGAAAAUGAAUUUGAGGUCAGGCAAGAGUAAACGUGAGCAGAUGAGUUUGGAUGCAAAGAAAUGAGAACUUAAAGAAGAUGCAAUGGUGAAAAUAUUAGAAAAAUUCCAGGGAUAAUCAGAAGGUAAAGUCAAGAGGACUUGACGACAGACUGGUUAUGAUUCUAAGAAAGAGGAGGAGUUGGAAGCAAUUUCUAGAUUGCUGAUUUAUAUUACUAGCUAAAUGAUAGUUCUAUUUUCAGAGAUAUGAAAAUGAGCAGAAACAGGAAGGAAAGGUUAUGUACUCAGUUUUAGACGUGUGGGGUCCAAAGAAUUUUUUUAAUUAAAAAAUAAUUUUUUAAAAAAAGGCCCAGAUCAUGCUACUCUUCUACUUAAGUCCUACAAUGGAUUCCCAUCAAACUUUGGAAAAAACACUUGAGAAGCAUACAGGCAUGAUCUGGCUCUGCUAUCUUCUGACUUUCUCUCCUACUCUGGUUGCUUUCACUCCAGAAACAUUGCCUUCUUGAAAUACCUGAUGGACUCAUUCUUCCCUAAGGACUUCUGUACUUACAUCUUCCCUCUGCCUAUAAUCUUUCCCCUCAUGCAGCUGGAUCCCUCACUUAAUGAAAGUCUAUGAUCAGAUGUCACCUCCUCAGAGAACCUUCUAUGACUAUACUCUGUAAAACAGCCUUCCUACUGAGAGGCUAGCUGGAGAAAAAAGCUGAAUGAAAUCCGCAGUCUUGCUAUGCUAAAGGGAAAGGCCCUACACGUAAUACAAGUCUUAGUCUGAAGACUUCUGAACCUAACAAAACCUGCAGUUCAAGCCCAGCUCCACGGAUUGAGGUAAUCCUGCUCUGAAAUACCUAACAAAAAACAAGGCACAUUCUCUCCUGGGGGGAGGGGAGUGGGGAAUUACAUCAACUCCAGUCCUUCAGUUCUUCUAUACACAUUCUCCUGUAUUAAGAGAAAAAAAAAAAUUAAAAGUCCUAUAAAAUGAGAGAAAGAAGUAUGACCAGGAUAAAUGUGACUGCUGAUUGAGG
This 6478-nucleotide long non-coding RNA is filed under the name Sus scrofa (pig). RNAcentral's name for it is "lncRNA (ENSSSCG00000053042.1)". The record is from RNAcentral. Lineage: Eukaryota; Metazoa; Chordata; Mammalia; Artiodactyla; Suidae.